This 931-nucleotide long non-coding RNA is filed under the name Homo sapiens (human). RNAcentral describes it as "non-protein coding lnc-OR8H1-1:1". Lineage: Eukaryota; Metazoa; Chordata; Mammalia; Primates; Hominidae. The record is from RNAcentral.
GUUGAUAUAAACAGCUGGCAGCAAUUUCACUGAGGUGACUGUCUUCAUCCUCUCUGGAUAUGCAAAUCACCCUGAAUUACAAGUCAGUUUUUUCUUGAUGUUUCUCUUCAUUUAUCUAUUCACUAUUUUGGGAAACCUGGGACUGAUCAUGUUAAUCAGAAUGGAUUCUCAGCUUCACACCCCUAUGUACUUUUUCCUCAGCAAUUUAGCAUUCAUUGACAUAUUUUACUCCUCUUCCGUAACACCUAAGACAUUGGCGAAUUUCCAAUCCAAUCAGAGAUCCAUCUCCUUUGUUGGCUGCUUUGUUCAAAUGUACUUUUCUGUUGGAUUGGUGUGUACUGAGUGUUUCCUGCUGGGAUCAAUGGCCUAUGAUUGCUAUGUAGCAAUCUGGAAUCCCUCAUUCAGUAGUCAUUUCUUAGAAAGCGUGCAACUGGCUGGGAGUAAUGUCAUACACGAUAGGUUUCACAAAUUCUCUGGUAUCUGUCUGUGUGAUAAGUGGUUUUGUUCUGUGAUUCCAGCAUCAAUCUUUUUUUUCUGUGACACCACAGCUCUUUUAGCACUGUCCUGUGUAGAUGCAUUCAGCACAGAAAUGGUGAGCUUUGCCUUAGCUGGAUUCACUCUUCUUGGCUCUAUCCUUAUCAUCACAGUCACUUAUAUCGCCAUCACCUCAGCCAUCCUGAAGAACCAGUGGGCAGCAGGAUGGCAGAAGGCCUUCUCCACCUGCGCAUUCCACCUCAUGGGUUAACUAUCUUCUAUGGGUCCCUGAUUUUCACCUAUUUGCAACUGGAUAAAACAUCAUCCCUGAUCCACGCACAGUUGGCAUUUGUAUUCUAUAUGACUGUCAUUCCCAUGCUGAAUCCACUCAUCUAGAGUCUGAGGAACAAAGAUGUAAAAAAUGCUCUUUGAGAGUCAUACAUAGAAAACUUUUUCC